GGAGAGAUGGUCGAGUGGUUGAAGGCACCAGUCUUGAAAAUUGGCAUAGGGUAACUCCCUAUCGUGGGUUCGAAUCCCACUCUCUCCGCCA
Molecule: transfer RNA, 91 nt
Filed under: Clostridiales bacterium
Lineage: Bacteria; Bacillati; Bacillota; Clostridia; Eubacteriales
Description: tRNA-Ser
Rfam family: tRNA
About the family: Transfer RNA (tRNA) molecules are approximately 80 nucleotides in length. Their secondary structure includes four short double-helical elements and three loops (D, anti-codon, and T loops). Further hydrogen bonds mediate the characteristic L-shaped molecular structure. tRNAs have two regions of fundamental functional importance: the anti-codon, which is responsible for specific mRNA codon recognition, and the 3' end, to which the tRNAs corresponding amino acid is attached (by aminoacyl-tRNA synthetases). tRNAs cope with the degeneracy of the genetic code in two manners: having more than one tRNA (with a specific anti-codon) for a particular amino acid; and 'wobble' base-pairing, i.e. permitting non-standard base-pairing at the 3rd anti-codon position.
Source: RNAcentral